CUUUUCCAUUUAAUUUUUAUUUUAAUUCAACAUCGAGGUCACAAACAUUUUUAUCAAUAAGAACUUUAUAAAAAUAUUACGCUGUUAUCCCUAAGGUAAUUAAUUCUCAUAAUAAUUUUAAUUAUAAUAAAAUUAUUCUAUAAAACCAUAAAUUAAUGUUCCC
Molecule: ribosomal RNA, 163 nt
Filed under: Paratrechina sp. MC-1995
Lineage: Eukaryota; Metazoa; Arthropoda; Insecta; Hymenoptera; Formicidae
Description: partial 16S ribosomal RNA
Source: RNAcentral